GGCCUUUAUUUUCACAAUGAGAGAGAGAGAGAGAGGAGCGGGGGCUUUCAGCGACCAGAGGGUGACGACUUCGGCAACCGCUGGAGAUCGGGAGCGGUGUCCCCGGGAUGGAGCUCGAUUCCUGAGGGACUAAUGGCGCCCCGGAAGGCUCAUGGUGAAGAGGAUAUUCAACGUGCAAUCAUGUGACAGACCCGUGAAGCUCCUCAAAAAGAGCGAUCAACGCAACCUUUGCAACAUUUACAAAGAGGGGAACACCGCUCCAAUCAACCAUGCAAUUGAUUUGUUGAAAGCUUGCAGCGAGACGGAUGAGGUGAUGGUAGAGAGGACAUGGAUUCUCAUUACCUUGGCGACAAUCCUAUGUCCAUGCACUCAGAAUAUGAUCAACCUUGAAUACAUGGCUUCCCUUGAAGACAUGGCUUCGGUGCACGAGUUCGCUUGGGAUGAGCAGUUUUUGGAAGCAACCAUGGAGGAGGUUGUAGUGUUCCAAGAUAAGAAGCAAAUCUAGCAAACAACGAAAAAUCCUCCAGAGUUUUAGAUUAGCUCGUGUCUACAUAUGCUCGUGUUCCAGAGUUUUGUUGCAUGCAUUGUAUAUAUGCUAUAGCACACACCACUAUUUUCCCAAUGUUUUUUUGCUCUAUGUUUUUUUAUCGCAGAUCAUAUAUAUGGGUCAUCUUGAUA
Molecule: long non-coding RNA, 678 nt
Organism: Triticum dicoccoides
Lineage: Eukaryota; Viridiplantae; Streptophyta; Magnoliopsida; Poales; Poaceae
Exons: 2
Source: RefSeq, a predicted model, not a curated record